RNAcentral lists this transfer RNA (37 nucleotides) under Zieria veronicea subsp. insularis. RNAcentral's name for it is "partial tRNA-Gln". RNAcentral also lists the same sequence under 1 other name. The record is from RNAcentral. Lineage: Eukaryota; Viridiplantae; Streptophyta; Magnoliopsida; Sapindales; Rutaceae.
AUCCCGGUAUUCGGAGGUUCGAAUCCUUCCGUCCCAG